This is a long non-coding RNA of Hyaena hyaena (striped hyena), 375 nucleotides long. RefSeq lists it as uncharacterized. The transcript is spliced from 4 exons. The record is from RefSeq and is a predicted model, not a curated record. Lineage: Eukaryota; Metazoa; Chordata; Mammalia; Carnivora; Hyaenidae.
AGAACUGGGCAUGUAGAGCUAGGCUACACAAACCAUGCCAAAGGCUUACCAAGGAACUGUGCCAGCAACUGGUGAAAAUAGAAGAUGCUUCAGCUGGUUUUGGGAACCAAACAAACACUGAACAAAGUGGAUGUAGUUCUGGUCUUUAUGGAGCAUACUGCCUCUGAGCUUAUACAAUCCCAUAUAAAUGCUCUAUCAUCUGUUUGCUAAUGGCUGGAAACACAUGAGCAUGGUGACUCUUGAAGCUAUGUGUUGAAAACAGAAGAACCACACAUUGAAAGCAGCUUGAAUUUCUGAAACUCUGCACUGAAGGCCACCCACCAAAUGCGAGAAUUGGACUGUUAUGUAUACACUCAGAGGAAAAACAAAAACAAC